GGGGAAUCUUGGACAAUGGGGGAAACCCUGAUCCAGCCAUGCCGCGUGAACGAUGAAGGCCCUAGGGUUGUAAAGUUCUUUCAGCGAGGAAGAUAAUGACGGUACUCGCAGAAGAAGCCCCGGCUAACUCCGUGCCAGCAGCCGCGGUAAUACGGAGGGGGCUAGCGUUGUUCGGAAUUACUGGGCGUAAAGCGCACGUAGGCGGGCUGGAAAGUUGGGGGUGAAAUCCCGGGGCUCAACCCCGGAACUGCCUCCAAAACUUUCAGUCUGGAGUCCGAGAGAGGUGAGUGGAAUUCCGAGUGUAGAGGUGAAAUUCGUAGAUAUUCGGAGGAACACCAGUGGCGAAGGCGGCUCACUGGCUCGGUACUGACGCUGAGGUGCGAAAGCGUGGGGAGCAAAC
This 400-nucleotide ribosomal RNA is filed under the name uncultured bacterium. RNAcentral describes it as "bacterial SSU rRNA". It matches the Rfam family "Bacterial small subunit ribosomal RNA", at positions 356 to 773 of the family's 1533-position model. The record is from RNAcentral.